RNAcentral lists this ribosomal RNA (493 nucleotides) under uncultured bacterium. RNAcentral's name for it is "bacterial SSU rRNA". It matches the Rfam family "Bacterial small subunit ribosomal RNA", at positions 1034 to 1521 of the family's 1533-position model. The record is from RNAcentral.
CGAGGUGGUGCAUGGCUGUCGUCAGCUCGUGUCGUGAGAUGUUGGGUUAAGUCCCGCAACGAGCGCAACCCUUGCCGUUAGUUGCCAAUCUCACUUCGGUGGGAGGAACUCUAAGGGGACUGCCGCGGAUAACGUGGAGGAAGGUGAGGAUGACGUCAAGUCAUCAUGGCCUUUAUGUCCAGGGCUACACACGUGCUACAAUGGGCGGUACAAUCCGUUGCCAACCCGCGAGGGGGAGCCAAUCGGAAAAAACCGUCCUCAGUUCGGAUUGCAGUCUGCAACUCGACUGCAUGAAGCUGGAAUCGCUAGUAAUGGCGUAUCAGAACGACGCCGUGAAUACGUUCCCGGGCCUUGUACACACCGCCCGUCACAUCACGAAAGCGGGCUGUACUAGAAGUCUCGAUCCCAACCGCAAGGGGGGUAAGGCCCAAGGUAUGGCUCGUGAUUGGGGUGAAAGGGGUAACAAGGUAGCCGUAGGAGAACCUGUGGCUGG